Molecule: long non-coding RNA, 5509 nt
Filed under: Sus scrofa (pig)
Lineage: Eukaryota; Metazoa; Chordata; Mammalia; Artiodactyla; Suidae
Description: lncRNA (ENSSSCG00015033498.1)
Source: RNAcentral
UCCCAAAUGUGGGAAAGAAUAGAGACACUUCAUAUUUCUAUUUCCUCUUUUCCACAUAUAGUUGAUUUAAAAGUAAAAUGAAAAGUAAAAGCAAAAUCACUCCAAGUCCACCGAAAAUUCAAAUAUCCCUUUUACUGCAUUGCGAGGCAUCACAGAACGAAGGCCAUCGUGAUUCAGCAACUGCACUCCUGGGUAUCUAUCCAGAGAAAACCACAAUUCAAAAAGAUACAUGCACCCCAGUGUUCACUGCAGCGCUAUGUACAAUAGCCAAGACAUGGAAGCAACCUAAAUGCCCAUCAACAGAGGAACGGAUAAAGCAGAUGAGGUACACACAUACAAUGGAAUAUUAGUCAGCCAUAAAAAAGAAGAAAAUAAUAUACUUCCGCCAACAUGGAUGGACCUAGAGAUUAUCACAUUGAACAAAGGAAGUUAGAGAAUGACAAAUAUCAUAUGAUGUCACUUAUAUGUGGAAUCUAAUCAAAAUGAUACAAAAGAACUUAUUUAUACAACAGAAAAAUUCACAGAUGUCAAAACCAACCUAAUGGUUACCACAGGUGAAACCUUUGAGGAGAGGAAAGAUUUGGGAGGGUGAGAAUACUAUAUACACACUGCUGUAUAAAACAGAAGAUUAAUAAGAACCUACCUAGAACCUAGCAGAAGAAUAUCUACUCAAUAGUUUAUGGUAACCUAUUGAGGAAAAAAUAAUGGAUAUAUUUAUAACUGAUUCACUUUGCUGUAUACCUGAAACUAAUAUAACAGUGUAAGUCCACAAUACUCUAAUGAGAUUAAGUUUUAAAAAAGACAAUGCAAUAACCAUGAGUUCUAAUCCUGAUUUUGACACUGACUAUCUAUGCAGGUGACUUAGAGAAGACAUUUGCCUCUUAAAGUCCUGAAUUACUCUACGUAAAAAAGAUAAAUAUUGCAUCUGCCUCACAGGGCUUUUGCAGAAUUAAAUCCUAACACAUGUGUAAAUGUAUAGUUUGACACAUACCCUGGUAAUUGUUCAUUUCCUUUAUUCUUAAUGACUUUCAAGUCUUUUGGCACUUUCCUCAAAAUCCACUUAUUAUAACAAAUUAUACUUUCAUACAUAUAUACAUUAUUUUAUGUAUUAUAAUAACUCUGAUUAUCUAUUCAACAUCCAUUUCCCUCUUCUCCUUUUCCUUUCUAACAGAACCCUGUAUUAUUCAAACCUUCUGCCAUCUACAGUUUCAGAGGUGGAUCCCAAUUAACCUGAAGCUGUGGAUGCAUCAUACUCCUUGGUGAGCAUUACUGAUCUAAUAACCUCAUCAAACGGAAGGGAAGAAUGCAUGUUCUAGAGUUGAAAAUGUUACUGGUUGAAUCAUGCUCCCCAAAAGACGCGUUAAAGUCCCCACCCCAGUGACCUCAGAAUAUGACUUUAUUUGGAAAUAGGGUCCUUCAGAUGUAAUUAGUUAAGAUAGGGUCAUACUGGAGGAAGGUGAACCCCGAAUCCCAUAUAACUGGUGUCCUUCUUGGAAGAUAGACAUGUGAAGAAAUGGCCCAAAGGGAGGUCACCAGGUCUAAGAUGGCAGAGGUUGAAGUUAUGUGGCUGCAAGCCAAGGGACACCAAAAUUCCUGGGACACCAUUAGAAGAAAGCAAAAGGCCAGGAAGGGUUCUCCUACCAAUUUCAGAAGGCACCUGACCCUGCUGACACAAUACACUUAUGUUUUCUAAAAACCACCUACUGGACUGUCUGUCCUAUGUUAUGGUAGCUUUCAGAAACUUGCAGAAGAGAGUCUCUUUUUCCUGGAACAGAUAGAAAUGGCAGCUAUGUUGUAACCAUGAGGAGAACCAACCUGAGGCGGAAGCUGAAAUAGGAUGACAUCUGAGACAAUCACCGGUGAGUCCUGACCUUCCAAGCCUGGAAUCUUCCCAGCUUCUAAGCUCCCUUUAGGAAAUCAUUGACUUCAUUACUGGACCAUCCAGCCUGAGGGAUACUUUCCUGAUACUUCCAAAGAAAGACACUCACACAUACUCAUACAGAUACAUACGGUGUGAUAUACCUUGAUUUCACACACAAGUCCUGGACCUUGAUUUAUUCACGAUUUAUGGUUGCGUGUCAUUUUCUGUUUCAUACAAGAAAAUAGAGCUGUUUCCCAGCUAACUUCAAUUCCUCUAGGACCAGCGUUAGGCUGUGCAUUAUGUAAUAUGCAGAGCUCUGAAUAUAGGAACUGCUCCAUAAACACUGAUUCUGUUUUAGCACCUACCACUCUACUUUGUAAUUAUUCAUUAAAUUCUCCUAUCCCUUGGUCUGCUCUUGGGUCCAGGGAUAUGUCUUAAUGCUGUAUUCGUAGCACUGAGAUCAUGGUAUCUAAGAAAGUAGGGAAGAUCAAAUGAAGGAAUAGUUGCGUUUUUUAGUAAAAUCUUGAAAUAUUAUUACUUAAUAGCUUUCCUCUGUUUUUUUUUAAUCUCAAGUCCCCCUCCUUCAGUCUAUCCUCGCAAUAGUACAGAAACAACAAUGAUAUGUUCUAUUCGUCUCUGCAUUCUUAGACCUCGGAGUAGCCAGGUAGACUCAGGAUGGGAAUGAGGAAGGGAGGUCCUUCCUCUGUUGCUGUUAAUAGCAUCCACGGCAAUAAAUUAGAAUUUCCCCAUGAGCAAGAAACAAUUUCCUCUUUUGAGUUUGAUGAAUGUUCAGCUAUAGAUAUACUACUGAUAACAUUACAAAGCUUUCUUAUGCCCUUCAGGAUAAAAUUUAUUUUAAGGUGUGCUAUAGGAAAGCACUCCGAGUCGCUUCUGCUCUGGAACACUUGGGUUUUCUACUUCCCCAUUUCUCCUUGUUCUCCCAUAUUUUUUGUUGUCUUGGUUUGUCUGGGACUUUCCUGGUUUUAGCACAAGGUUUACCUGUAACAGGAAAUCCCUCAGACCCAGGCAAACUGGAACAGUUGGUUACCCUCUCUCUUACUCUCCUUUCCUCUGUUUGACUGACAUGGGAGAAAAAAUGACAAGCAAUAUCAAUUUCUGCAGGAAUAGAGUUGGCAUGAAGUUGAAUAAGUGGAUGAAUGAAUGACCAAAUAAGGCAACCUGACACAGAAGAACUUUGCAGUUAGGGACAUGUGAACCGAAACCUCAGAUCAGUCAUGUAUUCCUCUGGGACCUGAUUCCACAGGUUUUACUUCUCUGAGCCUCAGUUUCAUCAUGAGCAAAGGGCUGGGGAUGAGGGAUGGCAAAAUGUAUAUCCCUGCCUUGUCGUAGGAGUAAAACCAGACCAUCAGCUCAUUAGCAACCAUUAAAAUCCUUGCAUACAUCUUCUGUGUUGCGUUAAUUAUGGCAAGACCAGUGUCUUGGUCAGCUCAAGCUGCUGUUAAAAAAAAAGUACCAGAGCCUGGGUGGCUUAAACAACACCAUUUGUUUCUAAAAGUUCUGGAGGCUGGGAAGUCCAAGAUCGAGGUACCAGCCAACUGGGCUCCUGAUGAGCAUCCUUUUCCUGGUUUGCAGAAGGCUGCGAUCCUGCUGUAUCCUUAGGUGGUAGAGAGAGGAAUCAUCUUUCUAUUUUCUUUUCAUAUAAGGGUGUUCAUCCCAAUCAUGGAAGAUCCACCUUAGAACCUAAACCCUUCUGGAGACCCUACCUCCAAAUACCAUCACACUGAGGAUUAGGGCGUCCAUAUAUAUUGGGGUGGGGGGUGGGGAAAAGACAUUCAGUCUAUAGUGCUCAAUAUCCGGAAGACAGCAGCUACCCAAUAGAUGUUUGUGUAACUAACAUAAUAUAUGCAAAAUGCCUAACAAGUAUUUUGUUUUUGCUAAAUGCCAAUAAUGUUUAAUGUCAUUGUUAUUAUCAUUCAAAUGAAUAAAAAGUGUCUUGAGCAUCCCCAAAGCACAAGUUGCUUUGAUUAGACCUGGCAGAGAUGAACCAGAGGAAAGUAAGCUGUAUUCUGAUUAUAGGGUAGAGGUCUUGCACUCCUACCUAUAAUUCAAAAAGCAAUAUAACCCCCAAUUAAGGCUUGAAGUUCCAGGCAUAGAGUAUGUAUUCAAUAACAUAAGAAUGAGAUCAUGGAAAACUAAAUAAAAAUAUGAAAUUUUGAAUUGAUACAAUGAUCAGAUUGAAAAGCUGAAAGGGGAAGUUCCCCUUGUGGUUCAGUGGGUUAGGAACCUGACAUAGUGCUUGUGAGGAUGCAGGUUCGAUCCCUGGCCUUUCUCAGUGGGUCAAAGCUGCGGCUGUGGUGUAGGCUGGCAGCUGCAGUGCCCAUUCAAACCAUAGUGGUGCUUCUUUCUCUUUCUACUCUCCAACCCUCGUGCAUUAAUCCAUCAGAUACUUUCAGCAGAUAAUUGCUGAGAGCCAUGUGCACAUGCCACUGACUGCUGAGAUACAACUGAGGGCAAACUCACACCUGAGUUUGCCUUCAUAGAGCUUAAGAGUGACAUAGACCCUCAUUAAAUAGCUACCUAGAUAAGGGAAGAAGGAACAGGGCAAAUGCUACAUAAAAAGUAUAUUGUUCCAAAAGACCUUCUACAUGUGGGUUCUGACCCAGUCCAAGAGUUCAAAAAUGGUACCCAGGCAAAGAACAGUCUGGGCUGAGUCCCUAAACAUGGAUGGGAAUGAGAUUGAUGAGGAGACAGAGGAAAUUUCCUCAUUUGGAAAUGAGGAAGGCAGAGGAGACAGAGGAGAUUUCCCUUAUUUGGCCCAUAGAGUUAGCAUUUAGAAGGGACUUCGCAUCAGGAAAGAACAUGGAGAGGGCAGAGAUCUGGAAGGCCAGCAUGGCUGGAGUUUGGAUCGAGGUACGAAAUGAGCCUUGCAGAGUGGGUAGAUGUCAGAGAGAGAACCUUGAGAACCAGUUCAAGGAGCUUUGGCACUUUUCCUCCAACACAGGAAAGAUGAUACAGGGAUACAGAAUUGUUUAAAAAAAAAAAAAGGCUACAGGAUCAGAUGUACAGUCUGUAACUUCCUCAGGUUGUGUAUAAUCCAUUAACAAAGGGUCCAAGGAGAUGACAACAGACUGGCCAAGGGAUCAUCAUCAUGGUUGGACUAGCGAAGGUUGGUAGAAAUAGAGAGAAGACAUGGAAACAAUCCAAAUGUCCAUCGACAGAUGAUUGGAUUCGGAAGAUGUGGUAUGUAUACAAAAUGGAAUACUACUCAGCCAUAAAAAAGGAUGACAUCAUGCCAUUUGCAGCAACAUGGAUGGAACUAGAGAAUCUCAUCCUGAGUGAAAUGAGCCAGAAAGACAAAGACAAAUACCAUAUGAUAUCACUUAUAACUGGAAUCUAAUAUCCAGCACAAAUGAACAUCUCCUCAGAAAAGAAAAUCAUGGACUUGGAGAAGAGACUUGUGGUUGCCUGAUGGGAGGGGGAGGGAGUGAGAGGGAUCGGGAGCUUGGGCUUAUCAGACACAACCUAGAAUAGAUUACAAGGAGAUCCUGCUGAACCGCAUUGAGAACUAUGUCUAGAUACUCAUGUUGCAACAGAAGAAAGGGUGGAGGAAAAAACUGUAAUUGCAAUGUAUACAUGUAAGGAUAACCUGACCCCCUUGCUGUACAGUGGGAAAAUAAAAAAAAAAAA